CAGUAGCCGCGGGAAUACGGAGGGUGCAAGCGUUAAUCGGAAUUACUGGGCGUAAAGCGCACGCAGGCGGUUUGUUAAGUCAGAUGUGAAAUCCCCGGGCUCAACCUGGGAACUGCAUUUGAAACUGGCAAGCUAGAGUCUCGUAGAGGGGGGUAGAAUUCCAGGUGUAGCGGUGAAAUGCGUAGAGAUCUGGAGGAAUACCGGUGGCGAAGGCGGCCCCCUGGACGAAGACUGACGCUCAGGUGCGAAAGCGUGGGGAGCAAACAGGAUUAGAUACCCGCGUAGUCCCUGUCUCUUAUAA
RNAcentral lists this ribosomal RNA (301 nucleotides) under uncultured bacterium. RNAcentral's name for it is "partial 16S ribosomal RNA". It matches the Rfam family "Bacterial small subunit ribosomal RNA", at positions 509 to 809 of the family's 1533-position model. The record is from RNAcentral.